UCCUUAUCCCUUCCUUUUCUUGAGAUAAUCUCCAGACCGUCUCCGUCUCGUUAGUAAGAAAAGUGAUCAUGUUGCUGUUAGUUAUUGUUGCUGUGUUAUUCUCCGGUUGUUUUGCCAACAUCCUUCAACCAUAUAACGAAACCGCCCUUGCCAUGUUCCAUGGUAACGACUUUAAUGGUGAUAAUAAGUUUGAAAGAUCUGAACUCGAUUUUACUUUCUACGUCUAUGACACUGAACCAUUGGAUGGAGUAAUCAGUCGACUAGAAUAUACGUCAUACAUUAACAAAACAACCCCUGAGCUUUAUAGAUUAUCUCAUGAACUCUAUGACAUCUACGAUAUAGAUAACGAUAACAGACUGGAGAAACAUGACUACGAUGCCU
Long non-coding RNA from Patella vulgata (common limpet), 381 nucleotides. RefSeq lists it as uncharacterized. The record is from RefSeq and is a predicted model, not a curated record. The transcript has 4 exons. Lineage: Eukaryota; Metazoa; Mollusca; Gastropoda; Patellidae.